CCGGCAGGCCGUGACUGGCGCGCUGGGAUGGGACGGACCAUCGGGGAGCGGCCUGUGAAUGACCGAGUGCCGUGCGCCUGGGCCGAACCG
RNAcentral lists this non-coding RNA (90 nucleotides) under Streptomyces sp. RNAcentral describes it as "ZTP sequence". It matches the Rfam family "ZMP/ZTP riboswitch aptamer (pfl RNA motif)". Rfam says of the family: Previously known as pfl RNA. ZMP is also known as AICAR. Lineage: Bacteria; Bacillati; Actinomycetota; Actinomycetes; Kitasatosporales; Streptomycetaceae. The record is from RNAcentral. RNAcentral also lists the same sequence under 2 other names.